CUCUCACUGAGUUAAUUCAAGACAAAGCUCUCCUUUGUAAACCAGACCCUUUCCAUUCAGUCUAUCACAGUGUGGCUCACUUGGCACCCCUUUUCAGCCCGGCUCUCCUCUUCAGUUCUCACUGUGGCUUUUUUGUUCUUAAUUCCUUUUCAUGGCCCGGCAAAAACGGAGUUAAUUAUAUUAAAGACCUGACUUCCCUGUCUAGCUCCUUAACUCCAGGUCAGCAGAUAAUUGAGAGUCAUUGCCCUGAUACUGAAUGAAGAGAUAAAGUUCCCAGGUUUAUUUCAAGUGACUUAUCUGAAGAUGAGGAAAGAGCAAGAGGUUACUAAAAAACAUAUCUGUGAAUUGUUGACAGAGACGGUCACUUCUGCAGAAACUCCAGAUGCCCUUGCCAAGUCCAGGUACAGGUCUAAACUAGCAAACCAAAUGCAUUUUCUAGGUUUAAAGUAAAGGUGGGUACUGAUCUCCAGGAUGACAUGCGAAGAUGCCAAAUCAUCCGAGACAUGAUUGGACCGGAAAAGACUUUGAGUCUCUUUUUGCAGAUGAUGGAUGCCAACCAGCGCUGGGAUGUGCCUGAGGCAGUGGAGUGGAUGUCCAAGCUGGCCAAGUUCAAGCCAUUGUGGAUUGAGGAGCCAACCUCCCCUGAUGACAUUCUGGGGCACGCCACCAUUUCCAAGGUAGGAAAACGGCUGCUGCUGUGGCA
Molecule: small RNA, 703 nt
Filed under: Pan troglodytes (chimpanzee)
Lineage: Eukaryota; Metazoa; Chordata; Mammalia; Primates; Hominidae
Description: retained intron
Source: RNAcentral